CAGCCGCCGCGGGAAUACGUAGGGUGCGAGCGUUAAUCGGAAUUACUGGGCGUAAAGGGCGCGUAGGCGGACUGAUAAGUCAGGGGUGAAAUCCCAAGGCUCAACCUUGGAACUGCCUUUGAUACUGUUUGUCUUGAGUUCGAGAGAGGUAAGUGGAACUGCGAGUGUAGAGGUGAAAUUCGUAGAUAUUCGCAAGAACACCAGUGGCGAAGGCGGCUUACUGGCUCGAAACUGACGCUGAGGCGCGAAAGCGUGGGGAGCAAACAGGAUUAGAUACCCGAGUAGUCCCUGUCUCUUAUAC
Molecule: ribosomal RNA, 301 nt
Filed under: uncultured bacterium
Lineage: Bacteria
Description: partial 16S ribosomal RNA
Rfam family: Bacterial small subunit ribosomal RNA
Source: RNAcentral